CCUACGGGGUGCAGCAGUAAGGAAUAUUGGUCAAUGGACGCAAGUCUGAACCAGCCAUGCCGCGUGGAGGAUGAAGGUCCUCUGGAUUGUAAACUUCUUUUAUUUGGGAAGAAACUCCCGAUUUCCAUCGGGAUUGACGGUACCAGAUGAAUAAGCACCGGCUAACUCCGUGCCAGCAGCCGCGGUAAUACGGAGGGUGCAAGAGUUAUCCGGAUUCACUGGGUUUAAAGGGUGCAGAGGUGGCAGUGGUGAAAUCUCCGGGCUUAACACGGAAACUGCCAUUGAUACUAUUUGUCUUGAAUACUCUGGAGGUGAGCGGAAUAUGUCAUGUAGCGGUGAAAUGCUUAGAUAUGACACAGAACACCCAUUGCGAAGGCAGCUCACUACGGAAAUAUUGACGCUGAGGCACGAAAGCGUGGGGAUCAAACAGGAUUAGAAACCCGGGUAGUC
Molecule: ribosomal RNA, 450 nt
Filed under: uncultured bacterium
Lineage: Bacteria
Description: partial 16S ribosomal RNA
Rfam family: Bacterial small subunit ribosomal RNA
Source: RNAcentral